Molecule: ribosomal RNA, 459 nt
Filed under: uncultured Cortinarius
Lineage: Eukaryota; Fungi; Basidiomycota; Agaricomycetes; Agaricales; Cortinariaceae
Description: eukaryotic LSU rRNA
Rfam family: 5.8S ribosomal RNA (bases 158-311)
Source: RNAcentral
UAAACCUGAUGGGUUGUUGCUGGUUCUCUAGGGAGCAUGUGCACACCUUGUCAUCUUUAUAUCUCCACCUGUGCACCUUUUGUAGGCCUUUCAGGUUUAUGUUGCUUCAUUUACCCCAAUGUAUGUUAAUAGAAUGUUGUGCCUAAAUAAUAUAUACAACUUUCAGCAACGGAUCUUUUGGCUCUCGCAUCGAUGAAGAACGCAGCGAAAUGCGAUAAGUAAUGUGAAUUGCAGAAUUCAGUGAAUCAUUGAAUUUUUGAACGCCCCUUGCGCUCCUUGGUAUUUCGAGGAGCCUGCCUGUUUGAGUGUCAUUAAUAUAUCAUACCUUCUCUUUUUGAGUGGUUUGGAUGUGGGGGUUUGCUGGCCUCUUAAAAGGUCUUGGCUCUCCUGAAAUACAUUAGCAGAACAACCCUGUUCAUUGGUGUGAUAACUAUCUACGCUAUUGAAUGUGAAGGGCAG